GACGAACGCUGGCGGCGUGCUUAACACAUGCAAGUCGAACGAAGUGGCGCACGGGUGAGUAACGUGUAAUCAAUCCGCCCCUCUGAGGGGGACACCAGUUGGACACGACUGCUAAUCCCGCAUACUGAAGGUGGGGAUUGCGUGUGGUUAGCUAGUUGGAGGGGUAAAGGCCCACCAAGGCGAUGAAGAGUAGCCGGUCUGAUAGGAUGAGCAGUCACCCUGGAACUGAGACACGGUCCAGACGCCUACGGGAGGCAGCAGUGGGGAAUAGUGGGCAAUGGGCGAAAGCCUGAUCCAGCCAUGCCGCGUGUGUGAAGAGGGGCUUCGGAUUGUAAGGCACUAUAAGUUGGGAGGCGGUACCAGCAGAAUAAGCACCGGCUAACUUCGUGCCAGCCGCCGCGGUAAUAC
RNAcentral lists this ribosomal RNA (408 nucleotides) under uncultured bacterium. Its description in RNAcentral is "partial 16S ribosomal RNA". It matches the Rfam family "Bacterial small subunit ribosomal RNA", at positions 28 to 526 of the family's 1533-position model. The record is from RNAcentral.